This is a long non-coding RNA of Pollicipes pollicipes, 188 nucleotides long. RefSeq lists it as uncharacterized. The transcript is spliced from 3 exons. Lineage: Eukaryota; Metazoa; Arthropoda; Thecostraca; Pollicipedomorpha; Pollicipedidae. The record is from RefSeq and is a predicted model, not a curated record.
CCCGUACAGCGGCGAGCCCGCGCCCGCCGGCCACCAGCUGCAGGACCUGCAGGAGGCCUCGGACGGCCUGGGCGGCGAGCUGACGGCGCUCUGUGACGAGGUGGCCGCGCACUACGAGCACGGCACGCCUCGAGCGGUGGCUGCUCAGGUGUCCCGGCUGGAGCUGCUGUGGGACGGCUGUCGCCAGG